Molecule: ribosomal RNA, 301 nt
Filed under: uncultured bacterium
Lineage: Bacteria
Description: partial 16S ribosomal RNA
Rfam family: Bacterial small subunit ribosomal RNA
Source: RNAcentral
CAGUAGCCGCGGUAAUACGUAGGUGGCAAGCGCUGUCCGGAUUUAUUGGGCGUAAAGCGCGCGCAGGCGGUUUUUUAAGUCUGGUGUCUAAGUGCGGGGCUCAACCCCGUGACGCACUGGAAACUGGGAGACUUGAGUGCAGAAGAGGAGAGCGGAAUUCCACGUGUAGCGGUGAAAUGCGUAGAGAUGUGGAGGAACACCAGUGGCGAAGGCGGCUCUCUGGACUGUAACUGACGCUGAGGCGCGAAAGCGUGGGGAGCAAACAGGAUUAGAUACCCGAGUAGUCCCUGUCUCUUAUACA